AAAGUUGAAUGAACAGUGAUAAAAGGGUAUAGAAUGAAUUUCACAUUUCACAGUAUCAUCAAACACGCGUCACCUCAUAUGCUUCUCACCGUACAUUAUCCAUUCAUCUUCACCAAACCUAAUUUUACCAUUGAAGGGAGAAAAACCAGAAAAUCAGAGUGAACCGGAGCCACUUGCGGAAAACGACGGUGGUACCGGGGUUUGCGGCCACCGCAGGCGGUGGUCAACAGUCGCAUUGGCUAGGGUUGCGGUUGCCGUUUGAGGCAGAAACCGAUGGUGACGACGGCUAGGGUAUCACCACAGUGAUGAAGAUGGCUUCAAGAAGCUCCAGUUGUGACUGGUCUCUGUUUAACUCUGAACUCUAGUGCACAUUCUAAUUUUGCAACUCUUGAUUCUGACGACUAUGGCCACUGUUGGAGGUAUAAGUGACCCCAAAGGAGUUCACUUCACUGUCGGCGCAUUUCCCUGCGCCCCGUUUGGUUCCGAUCCGUGCCGCCAGCGAUCAAGGAUUGUAGAUGAAAAGACUAUUUCUCUUUCCAUUCGGAUUUGGAUUAGCGGAAGAUAGGUUAAGGUGACCGGACAAUCUUGCAAGUAUUUAAAUAUAUGAGAAAUGUAUGUUGAAGGAGCUCAAGAUGCCGGCUUAGGGUUACAAAAGAUUGAUGUUGAGAGCAUGAGGUACCAUUUCUUUGUAAACAUAGUGUUAUUUGUGAGUUUUUUUUAAUGAGAAGCAUGUGCUUUGUUACCAUCAUUGCAACCAUGGUAUCCGGCCAGUGAACCUUCAUGUUAAUAGAUCUGCACAUCGGUCUCGUCAUGAUAUGCUUCCUCUAUGCGUCAAAAUCGAUUUUCUCAAUAUGAAUUCCAGCGGUCAGGCCAGCUCCUAGGUAUGUUAGCCCAAGGAUGGUUUGUACUUGUGUGUUUACUGGACGCGUGGCAGGUUUUUAACAGCCCCAUGUGGCCUCAAGGAUGUAUAUCAGGUGUUGGGUUAUUCAUAUAAACACAAGAUAAAGAAGAGAAAGUGAGAGAAUAAAAAAUAUAAAAUUAAGAGAAAGAAUCCGGCCGACUGUUUUACAGCAACGACUAACAACGCCUCUGAACGACGACGACGGCUAGGGUUACCGGGAUGUCCAGAGGAGGUGAAGGUGUUUCGCAGAGGGGGUUUGGUUCAACAUGGCAUCGACGACAACGGAGUUUAGGGUUCCGACGACCAUUUUGUUAGAACGGAGACAACAGUGCCAGUUUAAGCGACGACCAACCCUCCGACGAAGUUCAGGUACAAGCUUAUCUUUAUGGUGGAUACUUGGAAGAUAUUGGUACAAUUCAGGCCUUUUAUAAUGCAAAAUUAGGAAUUACAAAAAGCCAAUGCUUAUACUUGCUUCCUUCCAGGAUUAUCGGUGGAGGGUGUCGGAAUAAGGCAGGCGAUGGAAGGUAUACAUGUGAAGGCAAUAGCGAUACGAAAAAGCUAGGUAUCCGGAUGCAAGAAAUGGAAAUGAAGAAAACAACUUUUGUGAUCUAUGUAUAAGCGAAAUACUAUAUGAAAACCUAUGUGCUUCUCUUAAAUGUAAAACAUGUCAACAUCCUUUUGUAUCAACUUUAUUAGUGCAAGUAAAAUUUCAAACUGAGAACGAUUUGAUUUAGUGCGCCGCAACGCGCGCAGGGUCAAAACUAGUUAAAAUAAAAACACGAGGGAGAUGCCUAGGUC
This 1699-nucleotide long non-coding RNA is filed under the name Helianthus annuus (common sunflower). The record is from RNAcentral. Lineage: Eukaryota; Viridiplantae; Streptophyta; Magnoliopsida; Asterales; Asteraceae.